UCUUUGUACACACCGCCCGUCGCUACUACCGAUUGAAUGGCUUAGUGAAUCCUUCGGAGUGGUCUAUUUGAGCCGGCAACGGCACAUUUGGACUGCAAAGUUGGGUAAACUUGGUCAUUUAGAGG
Molecule: ribosomal RNA, 125 nt
Filed under: Wallemia sp.
Lineage: Eukaryota; Fungi; Basidiomycota; Wallemiomycetes; Wallemiales; Wallemiaceae
Description: partial small subunit ribosomal RNA
Rfam family: Eukaryotic small subunit ribosomal RNA
Source: RNAcentral